GACGAACGCUGGCGGCGUGCUUAACACAUGCGAGUCGAACGGAAAGGCCCUGCUUGCAGGGUACUCGAGUGGCGAACGGGUGAGUAACACGUGGGUGAUCUGCCCUGCACUUCGGGAUAAGCCUGGGAAACUGGGUCUAAUACCGGAUAGGAGCCAUUUUUAGUGUGAUGGUUGGAAAGUUUUUUCGGUGUAGGAUGAGCUCGCGGCCUAUCAGCUUGUUGGUGGGGUAAUGGCCUACCAAGGCGGCGACGGGUAGCCGGCCUGAGAGGGUGGACGGCCACAUUGGGACUGAGAUACGGCCCAGACUCCGACGGGAGGCAGCAGUGGGGAAUAUUGCACAAUGGGCGCAAGCCUGAUGCAGCGACGCCGCGUGGGGGAUGACGGCCUUCGGGUUGUAAACUCCUUUCGCUAGGGACGAAGCUUUUUGUGACGGUACCUAGAUAAGAAGCACCGGCUAACUACGUG
RNAcentral lists this ribosomal RNA (465 nucleotides) under uncultured bacterium. Its description in RNAcentral is "partial 16S ribosomal RNA". It matches the Rfam family "Bacterial small subunit ribosomal RNA", at positions 28 to 507 of the family's 1533-position model. The record is from RNAcentral.